UCAUAAUAGAAUUAAAGCAAAUCUAUUAAGCCGAUAAAGAUAGAAAGAACCUUUUGAACCCACCAGAAAAAAAAAUCAAGAGAUAAAGAAAAAACCUGAACAAAUGACCACCAUAUCAUAGAAAGCCAUCACCGAUCAAACCCGUCUCCGACAAAAUGAUACGUCCAUCUAGAUCAACAAACAGAGAAACUUUAAACAUGCAAAAGGAGAACAACAAAAGAAAACUAAGACUGGACCGAAGGUAGUUAUGGGAGCUCACACUGUCGACCGUCUCAACGAUGCAAAAAACGAAAUCUAUCCUAUACUAAAAGGAAGAUAUACUCAACUCUCAACCUGUCCACCUAGGAUAAAAAAAUUAGCCAAUCAUAGAAGUUUAAUUCGCCAUGUCAUAACUGCUUUAACGUGAUAUAACUUGUGCGAGAGUACUCAUUAUGGGCUUCUAAUAAUUUUUCCUGGCCAAUUUAAAUCAGCCCAAAUACUGACGAUAUCAUAUUACCUUUUCUGCUCUUCCACUUCACCAUCGUCGUUGCCGUUUCUGCAAAUCACCAUUUCUUAUGGAGUUAUUGCGAUUUACUCUCAAUAAUUCAAUCCAGAUCUUUACUCUUAUCUUGAUGAGCGAUGCUAUCCUUCCACCUCCCUUUUAUGUCUCCUCCUCUUAUAUGAAUCCUUUUGUAGACAAGCCUGCUAUGUUGUUUACUCCUCUUGCAAUUUUAGUUUUUUUUGUGCCCGUCGAAGCCAUGGCCUCAAAUCCAGACGGAUCAAAAUUAAUUAUCGUCAUGAAUCAGUGUUGUCUUCCACUACCUCCAUACAUAAGCUGAUGACUCCUUCCAGAGUUAAGACUUAUCCUCCAGCAGGUUUCCGCCGGCUGACCUACGUGGCUGAGAAGCGUCUCCGGCGAAGCUAUACUCGGUCGAGUUCAAUUUCGAUCCGAUACUUUUGAAAAGGUUAAAAUUAAGUUUCUCUUAUACUUUCAUCUCUUUAGAGUUUUGAUUGGGUACUGUCUGCAAUCUAGAGAUUGAUUUCAGAUUUUUCCCUUUUAAUAGCAACAACGAAAGGUAAAGGGAGCGAAAAGCAUGAACAUACCACAUGGUAAAACUUUUGAUUUUCUUCUGAAUUUUCUAAUAAUGUGAUAAAAUCUCAGUUUUUGGUUUAAGCCAGCGCACAUGGUUUUCAUGGACAGAGAUUAUACGAAGAAGAAAGUUCGAAGCUUAGUAGCUGAGUCUUCGAAGUUUCUGUACGCCAUUCCGGUGACUAAGACAAGAGCAUUCUGUGAGGUUCUCUCUAUUGUCUCUUCUCCCCUGCUAUUAAUAAUUGUAUCACAAACAGUUUGGCUCUGUUUAGCUGGAAUCACUUCAUGUGAUUCACUUGCAGGAGACAUGCCUGGCCUCAAAAGAUGUCAUGUCCUUUGAUUUGCUAAAAAAGAAGCUCAUGUUAAGAUUAGAUACACUUGGUAUAAAGACUAUCAAAGAGGUCAUUGUUAAUUCUCGAAUAAACUACAUGGAUGGUCAUAUAUCCCAGUCGGUGGUUCCUUGCCACACACUAAACAAAAGAAUCUUGCCCUUUGGUGUUGCAGCUAGAAUGGUACAUCCCUCAACAGUUAUAGCAGGUUAUUCAGUUGUGGCCUCUUUGUUUGAAGAUCCAGAUUACGCAUCAGACAUAUAGGAUAUACUAAAACAUGAUAUUACUUCCUUCACCAAACACAUCAACAUCAAUAUUUCAACACAAGGUGAUCUCUCCUUGACCAACUGAGUUUAUAGCU
This is a long non-coding RNA of Brassica napus (rape), 1759 nucleotides long. RefSeq lists it as uncharacterized. The record is from RefSeq and is a predicted model, not a curated record. NCBI's taxonomy places the organism in Eukaryota, Viridiplantae, Streptophyta, Magnoliopsida, Brassicales, Brassicaceae. The transcript is spliced from 3 exons.